Molecule: ribosomal RNA, 375 nt
Filed under: uncultured organism
Description: partial 16S ribosomal RNA
Rfam family: Bacterial small subunit ribosomal RNA
Source: RNAcentral
GUAGGGUGCAAGCGUUAUCCGGAAUCAUUGGGCGUAAAGAGCUCGUAGGCGGUUCAGCAAGUCGGCUGUGAAAUCCCGAGGCUUAACCUCGGAACUGCAGUCGAUACUGCUGUGACUAGAGUCCGGUAGAGGAGAAUGGAAUUCCCGGUGUAGCGGUGAAAUGCGCAGAUAUCGGGAGGAACACCAGUAGCGAAGGCGGUUCUCUGGGCCGGUACUGACGCUGAGGAGCGAAAGCGUGGGGUAGCAAACAGGAUUAGAUACCCUGGUAGUCCACGCCGUAAACGUUGGACACUAGGUGUGCGUUCCGACCAACGGGUGCCGUGCCGAAGCUAACGCAUUAAGUGUCCCCGCCUGGGGAGUACGGCCGCAAGGCUA